RNAcentral lists this non-coding RNA (48 nucleotides) under Alexandrium minutum. Lineage: Eukaryota; Dinophyceae; Gonyaulacales; Pyrocystaceae. The record is from RNAcentral.
GGAAAAAAAAAAAAAAAAAAAAAAAAAAAAAAAAAAAAAAAAAAAAAA